GAUGAAGAACGUAGCGAAAUGCGAUAAGUAAUGUGAAUUGCAGAAUUCAGUGAAUCAUCGAAUCUUUGAACGCACCUUGCGCCCUUUGGACAUUCCGAAGGGCAUGCCUGUUUGAGUAUCAUGAACACCUCAACUCUCACGGCUUGUCCGUGAUGAGCUUGGACUUUGGGGGUCUUGCCGGCCUAUGGUCGGCUCCUCUCAAAUGGAUCAGCUUGCCAGUGUUUGGUGGCAUCACAGGUGUGAUAACUAUCUGCGCUUGUGGUUUUCCAUCAGAUAACCUUCAGUGAUAUGGAGGUUCGCUGGAGCUCACAAAUGUCUCUCCUUAGUGAGGACAGCUCUUUGAACGUUUGAUCUCAAAUCAGGUAGGACUACCCGCUGAACUUAAGCAUAUCAAUAAGCGGAGGA
Molecule: unclassified non-coding RNA, 405 nt
Filed under: soil metagenome
Description: partial contains 5.8S ribosomal RNA, internal transcribed spacer 2, and large subunit ribosomal RNA
Rfam family: 5.8S ribosomal RNA (bases 1-121)
Source: RNAcentral